Long non-coding RNA from Peromyscus eremicus (cactus mouse), 369 nucleotides. RefSeq lists it as uncharacterized. The record is from RefSeq and is a predicted model, not a curated record. The transcript has 3 exons. Lineage: Eukaryota; Metazoa; Chordata; Mammalia; Rodentia; Cricetidae.
CCUGCUCUAGAAUGGUGACAAGGUUCCCAUCUUAUCAGUGCCAUUCUCGGGGAGGAUCCCUCAUACACUAAAUGCCGAGGACUUAGAGAGUAAGGUAAGAGUGAGUGGUCAAGUCAGAAGUCUCCACCACAUCGUUGACAUCCACACAGGCCGCAGGUGGCCUCUCUGCCCAGGAUCACAGUCUGUGGACCCCAGCUCUACAGAAGGAUAAGGCCAGCCCUUGCAAUGUGGUCUGUCAAACAGCUUCAGUUCUAUCCAAAGGGCAAACAGUUUACAAUCAGAAGAGCACAGACAGGUGCAGGAAAUGCUUAAGUACGAAAAUUCUGUAAGAAAAAGAAAAAAAAAUGCAAAAGCACAGGAAUAAAAUAA